RNAcentral lists this ribosomal RNA (496 nucleotides) under uncultured bacterium. RNAcentral's name for it is "partial 16S ribosomal RNA". It matches the Rfam family "Bacterial small subunit ribosomal RNA", at positions 28 to 506 of the family's 1533-position model. The record is from RNAcentral.
GAUGAACGCUGGCGGCGUGCCUAACACAUGCAAGUCGAGCGAACGGACGAGAAGUUUGCUUCUCUGAUGUUAGCGGCGGACGGGUGAGUAACACGUGGAUAACCUACCUAUAAGACUGGGAUAACUUCGGGAAACCGGAGAUAAUACCGGAGGAUAUUUUGAACAGCAUGGUUCAAAAGUGAAAGACGGUCUUGCUGUCACUUAUAGACGGAUCCGCGCUGCAUUAGCUAGUUGGUAAGGUAAUGGCUUACCAAGGCAACGAUGCGUAGCCGACCUGAGAGGGUGAUCGGCCACACUGGAACUGAGACACGGUCCAGACUCCUACGGGAGGCAGCAUGAGGGAAUCUUCCGCAAUGGGCGAAAGCCUGACGAAGCAACGCCGCGGGGGUGAUGAAGGUCUUCGGAUCGUAAAACUCUGUUAUUAGGAAAGAACAGAUGUGUAAGUAACUGUGCACAUCUUGACGGUACCUAAGCAGAAAGCCACGGCUAACUACGU